This 448-nucleotide ribosomal RNA is filed under the name uncultured bacterium. Its description in RNAcentral is "bacterial SSU rRNA". It matches the Rfam family "Bacterial small subunit ribosomal RNA", at positions 329 to 793 of the family's 1533-position model. The record is from RNAcentral.
UACCAGACUCCUACGGGAGGCAGCAGUGGGGAAUAUUGCACAAUGGGGGAAACCCUGAUGCAGCGACGCCGCGUGAGUGAAGAAGUAAUUCGUUAUGUAAAGCUCUAUCAGCAGGGAAGAAAAUGACGGUACCUGAGUAAGAAGCCCCGGCUAACUACGUGCCAGCAGCCGCGGUAAUACGUAGGGGGCGAGCGUUAUCCGGAUUCAUUGGGCGUAAAGCGCGCGUAGGCGGCCGCCUAAGCGGGACCUCUAACCCCGGGGCUCAACCCCGGGCCGGGUCCCGGACUGGGCGGCUCGAGUGCGGUAGAGGAGAGCGGAAUUCCCGGUGUAGCGGUGGAAUGCGCAGAUAUCGGGAAGAACACCGAUGGCGAAGGCAGCUCUCUGGGCCGUCACUGACGCUGAGGCGCGAAAGCUGGGGGAGCGAACGGGAUUAGAUACCCGAGUACAG